RNAcentral lists this long non-coding RNA (449 nucleotides) under Meleagris gallopavo (turkey). Its description in RNAcentral is "lncRNA (ENSMGAG00000022107.1)". Lineage: Eukaryota; Metazoa; Chordata; Aves; Galliformes; Phasianidae. The record is from RNAcentral.
GUAAGUGGAAGCUGCUCCAUAAAUCAAACCAUAUAUCUUUUGAUGUUUUAAAUAUUCUGUGAAGAACCAAAUUACAAGAAAUACAGAUGAGCAAGUCUCUUCUGAAAAAUGAAAUCUAAGAAGAUACCAGAUGCUUGCUUUUAUUGGAUCCAUUAAAUUACCUUAGGAAAUCUGGUUUUCUAAUUGUAGGUUGUGCAGGUGAAAUCUGGAAAACAACUGGUGAUCAGGGGAUUUAAGAUAAGCGGAGGUGAGCAGAGCAAUGAAGACUGUUCAGAUGGAUGGAGACCUGACUGUCAUUUCUCUUGCAACUUAAUGUGGCAACUGGAUUAUAUCCUUUAAGACAGGACUUAUGUCCCCUGCUUCCCCCUAGUUCACCUCAUUUUAUUUACAGUACGCAGUGAAUAGGUUUUUUUAAAGAAAGCACAGAGCACUUUCUUGUGUGAAGUCUA